UGGGGAAUCAUAGACAAUGGGCGCAAGCCUGAUCUUGCCAUGCCGCGUGAGCGAUGAAGGCCUUAGGGUUGUAAAGCUCUUUCACCGGUGAAGAUAAUGACGGUAGCCGGAGAAGAAGCCCCGGCUAACUCCGUGCCAGCAGCCGUGGUAAUACGGAGGGGGCUAGCGUUGUUCGGAAUUACUGGGCGUAAAGCGCGCGUAGGCGGGCUGUUAAGUCGGGGGUGAAAUCCCGGGGCUCAACCCCGGAACGGCCUUCGAUACUGGCAGCCUCGAGUCCGGGAGAGGUGAGUGGAAUGGCGAGUGUAGAGGUGAAAUUCGUAGAUAUUUGGAGGAACACCAGUGGCGAAGGCGGCUCACUGGCUCGAUACUGACGCUGAGGUGCGAAAGUGUGGGGAGCAAACAGGAUUAGAUACCCGUGUAGUCC
RNAcentral lists this ribosomal RNA (424 nucleotides) under uncultured prokaryote. Its description in RNAcentral is "bacterial SSU rRNA". It matches the Rfam family "Bacterial small subunit ribosomal RNA", at positions 355 to 796 of the family's 1533-position model. The record is from RNAcentral.